This 1008-nucleotide ribosomal RNA is filed under the name Bacillus safensis. RNAcentral's name for it is "bacterial SSU rRNA". It matches the Rfam family "Bacterial small subunit ribosomal RNA", at positions 448 to 1448 of the family's 1533-position model. Lineage: Bacteria; Bacillati; Bacillota; Bacilli; Caryophanales; Bacillaceae. The record is from RNAcentral.
AACAAGUGCGAGAGUAACUGCUCGCACCUUGACGGUACCUAACCAGAAAGCCACGGCUAACUACGUGCCAGCAGCCGCGGUAAUACGUAGGUGGCAAGCGUUGUCCGGAAUUAUUGGGCGUAAAGGGCUCGCAGGCGGUUUCUUAAGUCUGAUGUGAAAGCCCCCGGCUCAACCGGGGAGGGUCAUUGGAAACUGGGAAACUUGAGUGCAGAAGAGGAGAGUGGAAUUCCACGUGUAGCGGUGAAAUGCGUAGAGAUGUGGAGGAACACCAGUGGCGAAGGCGACUCUCUGGUCUGUAACUGACGCUGAGGAGCGAAAGCGUGGGGAGCGAACAGGAUUAGAUACCCUGGUAGUCCACGCCGUAAACGAUGAGUGCUAAGUGUUAGGGGGUUUCCGCCCCUUAGUGCUGCAGCUAACGCAUUAAGCACUCCGCCUGGGGAGUACGGUCGCAAGACUGAAACUCAAAGGAAUUGACGGGGGCCCGCACAAGCGGUGGAGCAUGUGGUUUAAUUCGAAGCAACGCGAAGAACCUUACCAGGUCUUGACAUCCUCUGACAACCCUAGAGAUAGGGCUUUCCCUUCGGGGACAGAGUGACAGGUGGUGCAUGGUUGUCGUCAGCUCGUGUCGUGAGAUGUUGGGUUAAGUCCCGCAACGAGCGCAACCCUUGAUCUUAGUUGCCAGCAUUUAGUUGGGCACUCUAAGGUGACUGCCGGUGACAAACCGGAGGAAGGUGGGGAUGACGUCAAAUCAUCAUGCCCCUUAUGACCUGGGCUACACACGUGCUACAAUGGACAGAACAAAGGGCUGCAAGACCGCAAGGUUUAGCCAAUCCCAUAAAUCUGUUCUCAGUUCGGAUCGCAGUCUGCAACUCGACUGCGUGAAGCUGGAAUCGCUAGUAAUCGCGGAUCAGCAUGCCGCGGUGAAUACGUUCCCGGGCCUUGUACACACCGCCCGUCACACCACGAGAGUUUGCAACACCCGAAGUCGGUGAGGUAACCUUUAUGGAG